RNAcentral lists this ribosomal RNA (440 nucleotides) under uncultured bacterium. RNAcentral describes it as "partial 16S ribosomal RNA". It matches the Rfam family "Bacterial small subunit ribosomal RNA", at positions 338 to 795 of the family's 1533-position model. The record is from RNAcentral.
CCUACGGGAGGCUGCAGUGGGGAAUAUUGCACAAUGGGGGCAACCCUGAUGCAGCGACGCCGCGUGAGGGAAGAAGUAAUUCGUUACGUAAAGCUCUAUCAGCAGGGAAGAAAAUGACGGUACCUGAGUACGAAGCCCCGGCUAACUACGUGCCAGCAGCCGCGGUAAUACGUCGGGGGCACGCGGUAUCCGGAUUUACUGGGUGUAAAGGGAGCGUAGACGGUGCGCCAAGUCUGGAGUGAAAUGCCGCAGCUUAACUGCGGAACUGCUUUGGAAACUGGCGAACUAGAGUGCGGGAGGGGUAAGCGGAAUGCCUAGUGUAGCGGUGAAAUGCGUAGAUAUUAGGAGGAACACCGGUGGCGAAGGCGGCUUACUGGACCGUAACUGACGCUGAGGCUCGAAAGCGUGGGGAGCAAACAGGAUUAGAUACCCGGGUAGUC